AUUCCAUAUUUUAUCCGUGGUGUAAUAUCAUUCCGGUAUCGGUGUCAAAAUUGAGUUCCUAUAUUUAUAUAUUCGAAAGGUGUUUUUAUAAAAUAUUUUUAUUUCAAUCCAAGUUCUAUAUUUAUGUUUAAAAAAAAGUUAUAUAAAUAUUUUAAAUUAUGUUGAUUUUUAUUAACGAAAUUAUCAAAAAAGGCAAUCUUAAGAAAUAUAAUGUAAUGGUUUAAAUAAAAUAGCUAAGUGAAACGAAGGUUAGAAUGAGAAGUAUUGUUAACAUUUUGAAAAUUUUUGUCGCUUUUUUUUAUGAUUAUGCACGAGGAUUAUCGUACACUAUUAUUACGAUUUUGGUUUUGGGUUAUUGUUUACACCCGGCUCGAUUUGCUUCACAUUAUACUUUUAUAAAAACAGAAGAUAUUUACGAUGAAAUGGAAAAAUCUUAUCCAGCAAGGGAUAAUUCAUGCACAAUCACGAUCAAUCAUCAAAAAUCUCAAUUGCUUUAUCCCGAAGAACAUCCUCGAGAAGACCCUAUAGCAAUGGCGCGACGAUUAGGUAUAUUACCUGGAGGACAAUGGAAACCAUUAAAUUGUCACCCUCUUUUCAAUGUGGCUAUUAUUUUACCAUAUAGAAAUCGUCAAACACAACUUACUAUUUUUAUGAAUUAUAUUCAUCCUUUUCUACAAGCCCAAAAUCUUGAUUAUAGAAUAUUUGUGAUAGAACAAAGUCCAAUGCGUGAAUUUAAUCGUGCUAAACUUUUCAAUGUUGGAUAUGCAGAAGCAACUAAAGUAAAUGACUUUCAUUGUUUCAUCUUUCAAGAUGUAGAUCUCAUACCUCAGAAUCCUGAUAACAUUUAUGCUUGCACUAAGAUGCCCAGACAUAUGAGUUCAAGUGUAAAUACAUUUCGUUACAAUUUACCAUAUAGUGGUUUAUUUGGAGGUGCAAUAGCAUUAACUCGAAAACAAUUUGAAAGAGUUAAUGGAUUUUCAAAUGUUUUCUAUGGAUGGGGUGGAGAAGAUGAUGAUUUUUAUAGCCGUUUACAAUCAAAAGGUCUUCAAGUUACACGUUUUGGACCUGAUAUUGCUCAGUAUUAUAUGUUAGUACACAAAAAAGAAUCUCCAAGUAGUGCUAGGUUUGAAAAUCUUGAAAAUAGCGCUAAAAGAUAUGAUACUGAUGGAAUUAGUAAUUUAGAAUACAGAGUUCUGAAUCAUCAACUAAGGCCAUUGUAUUCUUGGAUUUUAGCAGAUGUUUAGUUUUGGUGGUUUAUCUACAUGGCAAUCUUUUGGUAUACUGUACUGCAUCAAGGCACGAUAUUGGUCCUGCAGCAUCAGUACUCCCUGAAACAGAGAAUUUCAGUGUUAUCCCGUCCAAUAUCCUCCCAAAGCAGUUGUUUAUCCCGUAAACUUUCUUCUUGGUUGACGAAAUUAUAGUUUUUUUUUUCUACUUCAUAGCUUUCCGUCUCGAAUGAACAAUAAAGAAAAUGUCUUGGUUUUAUAAUGUGGGCCAUUCCACACGACUUGCGGACCGAUUACAUAGUAUGUGCACAGCCAUGGCCAUGGGGAAGGCCAAAGGGCUGCGUUACCGUGCCUUGCCGCCACGGGGCGUCGGUGGCACGCGUACAACGCAUCGGUUGGGUAUCUGGACUGAACUUCUUUCUACCUGUUUCAUCUCCAUCCACCGUGCGGCCUCCUGAGUCGCGUUAAACUCGACGAAUGCAAAACCUCGCGAAGCACCUAUACAGAGCAAAUACACACAUAUCCAAAGUUAAUCCACGUUUUGCCUGGGAGUCUCUACUCUGAGAGGGCAGGCAAUCACAGCACCAACCAUUGACAGACUGAGUUUUGAACGAAGUAUUUUCUUCGCUUCGUCGCUUGCUUUCAUUUCCAUUUGCCUAAAGCUCAGCAGAAUGAAUUCUACACGGGUGACAGACGAUUUCUUUGGUAUCUUUACGCGAACUUUAGUUUACUUUAAUGAUAAACCUACUAAAAUCUUUUAAUCUCC
Molecule: unclassified non-coding RNA, 1992 nt
Organism: Apis florea (little honeybee)
Lineage: Eukaryota; Metazoa; Arthropoda; Insecta; Hymenoptera; Apidae
Source: RefSeq, a predicted model, not a curated record